UUUCCUACGGGGGGCAGCAGUGGGGAAUAUUGCACAAUGGGGGAAACCCUGAUGCAGCGACGCCGCGUGAGUGAAGAAGUAUCUCGGUACGUAAAGCUCUAUCAGCAGGGAAGAAAAAAAGUCUUUGGCUUUGGACGGUACCUGACUAAGAAGCCCCGGCUAACUACGUGCCAGCAGCCGCGGUAAUACGUAGGGGGCAAGCGUUAUCCGGAUUUACUGGGUGUAAAGGGAGCGUAGACGGUCCUGCAAGCCAGAUGUGAAAGCCCGGGGCUCAACCCCGGGACUGCAUUUGGAACUGUAAGGCU
RNAcentral lists this ribosomal RNA (305 nucleotides) under uncultured bacterium. Its description in RNAcentral is "partial 16S ribosomal RNA". It matches the Rfam family "Bacterial small subunit ribosomal RNA", at positions 335 to 642 of the family's 1533-position model. The record is from RNAcentral.